Long non-coding RNA from Grus americana (Whooping crane), 1540 nucleotides. RefSeq lists it as uncharacterized. The transcript has 5 exons. Lineage: Eukaryota; Metazoa; Chordata; Aves; Gruiformes; Gruidae. The record is from RefSeq and is a predicted model, not a curated record.
AGCUCAGCCUGAGACUUCUCUAAAGAAUCUAGUUUGCUUCUAUGUUCAGUUUGGUACCUCUUUAAAGUUGCCUGCAAUCAAAGCAUUUAAAACAUCUCAUAAUGCACUCAGCCAUGUAACUGGACUCCCUGUAUGCUGUGCCUCAGGCAAAAGCCCUUUCAUGCUGGAAUCUCCUUACUGCCACCGGUGAUCCACAGGCACUGCUCUCAAGGCUUAUUUCUUUGUCAACAGACAUACCCAGGUGAAGAAAAAACUAUGAUCGCUAAGCAUGAGCUGAGAGAGAAUGGCCUCCUGCCUGCUGUACUAGCCCCAGCACCUCGUGAUCGCACUAUGUUUGGGUCAUACAAUGAGCUAAAAAACCAGCACCAUGGAUUUCUGACAACUAUGAAGUCUUGCCAUCCAUACGCAAUUGUCCUGACUGGUUAAAUUGUUUGAAACCAGCAACUCUGCUUUCUGCAAACAACCUGCAAAGCAAAUACAGAAAAAGCGACUACGUUAGGACUGUUUGCUUUGUACUGUUUACUGUUCUGCCGCUCCCAACUUUCAACACAGAAUGUUAACACUCACACAAAAAUGGUUUCUGAACAAAUCAAAAAUGUAUGCAGGCACACAGAAACCUGUGGCCACCAUCAAGGAGAGUCUUUCGCCUCAGUUCUGCUUCAGCAGAAUCAUUAAAAAACAUUUACUGAAAACAUCCUUUUUAAUCAGCUGAAUUAACAGUAUUGUGACUUACAGGAACAGAUGGCAUGUUACAUCAUUGGGAAAGUCCUACAUUGCCCAUAAUCAAAAGUUCAGAGACAAGACACUUCAUCAAGUUAUUUUUGUCAAAAAGCAAGUGAAGGCUUUAAAUGUUUCUCUAUACAGUAUAGCUCCUGCUUCUUUGUUUUGUAGUCAUGUUAGAAUCUUUUCUCAGAAAUAUUACAAAUACUUCGAUGACAACUUCAUUUUUGUAGAUUGAGCGGUAUCAUUUCAAUGCUAGCCAAAGGAGUACAAAAUGAAGUGCUAAUGACGAGCUUUCAAAAAUUCAGAAAUUAUUUUCAGGAAAGUACAGACCUUGGAUUAAUUUUACAUUAACAUAAAUGUACUACAUCUUUGACCCUACAGUCUCUCUUUCAAAAGCUCAACUAGAAAAUAAAUAAUGCAUCUGAGAACUUUUAGUGAUAUACUUGAUCAAAGAAUAUUGAAGUAGAGCUAAACUCUUCACAAUGGAACUCAUCCAGAAAAUUGUCCUAAUACCAAUAUUGUGUUGCAGAAAAUGUCAACAUUCACCUCUGUACUAAAAAAAGUAAAGCUACACAUUUUUCCAUAUUUCUCUAUUAUAGAAUUAUGUGAACUUAAAUGCAUGCUUUUGAAUGCACAGGCAGGAGUAUAUUCACAAAAGUAAAAAAACAAAACUGAUUUUGUCAAAACAUUUUAAGUGUCUUAAGAAAUAAUAUACCUUAAAGGAAUCUAAUCCCUUCCAUCUGUGCGUUAUUUAAAAGACACUUUUCCCAAUGCUUUUCUAUUUUCACAUUAGUUCUGUGAACUGCCAGCAGGAAAA